CCUUUUUUCUUCCGCUUCAAGUUCCCUUUCUUGUCGCGCGAUUAUUCAUAACCAGGAAAUCAAAUGAUUUCCAUAACAAGCCGGAAUUAACGAGGUUACGUCCUAAUAAUCAUUUAAUUUACACUACCUAAUUAAGGCAAUGUCUAAUAGACUAUUUACGACCUGAAAGGUGCAAUUCGCGACCCGUUUGAGUGGGGGAUUCUGCACGUUCAUGUCAAUUUCGAAAGCUAUCGGGUUAACUCUCAGUUCCGUAACGAAAUCGGCUAUCAUGGAGUUAAUGAAAUGUUUUCUUGCGUUUGUGUUCUCAAGCUGCAUGAUCCGCACAGUGGUUGAGAGUCAGUCUGUCAGUGUUGAGCCACAGGUUACUGCCUACUUGGGGGGUGAAGUCACACUGCGUUGCCAGUUCAUUCAGGGAGGCUCAGGUGCAAAUGCCACACAGGUCCAAUGGAGGAAGGAAUCAUUUUCCGAAGCUUUAGCCGUUUUCCAUCCUCAACAUGGGAUGAAUUACUCCAAAUCUUCGGGUGGACGAGUCCGUUUCACCAGCAGCUCUGUGGAUGAUGCUUCCAUCAGCAUCAUUAAUAUUAAUGAGACAGAUGCGGGAAAGUACACCUGUAAAUACAACACUUUCCCUGAGGGAAUUAAGGAAGCCACCACCACACUCACUGUGAGGGUGGUUGAGAGUCUGUCUGUCAGUGUUGAGCCACAGGUUACUGCCUACUUGGGGGGUGAAGUCACACUGCGUUGCCAGUUCAUUAAGGGAGGCUCAGCUGCAAAUGCCACACAGGUCGAAUGGAGGAAGGAAUCAUUUUCCGAACCUUUAGCCGUUUUCCAUUCUGAAUUUGGUAAGACUUACUCCAAAUCUUCGGAUGGACGAGUCAGUUUCACCAGCAGCUCUGUGGAUGAUGCUUCCAUCAGCAUCAUUAAUAUUAAUGAGACAGAUGAGGGAAAGUACACCUGUAAAUACAACACUUUCCCUUGGGGAAUUAAGGAAGCCACCACCACUGUGAGGGGUAAGAGAGCCACAUUUCAUACUGUACCAGUUUUUCUUUGAAGUUCCAGUGCUGUCGUUUGUUUUUCAAAUUGGAGGCAGUAUAACGUAUUCAAUUUUAGUUCAUUCAAGUGUAACAGGACCACCAAAUUACAUCAUGACAUAUAUAUUUCCUGGCAGAAUUCAAUAAGCAAAACGUUAAAGACAGAUUCCUUCUCACAUUAUGAUUUUAGAGUUUUGAAGAUUAUGUGCAGGAAGAUUUUGUUCUACAGACUGUUUCUAUCAGACACUGCUUAAAUUGUUCCUGGAAUAACUAUCCCAUGUGAAUAUUCAGAAAGUAUUCAUAAUGAAAAAUAUUCAUAAUAUAUUUUGUUUCCACUGGCCUGUUACAAUUAUAUUAUGAAUGUACAUUAGAGUUGUAACCAAACAAUCAUGCUAAUGGCUGCAAAUGCAUAUCCAAGCAGUCAAACCCUGGGAGCACUCAACAGCAGUGGCGUCUGGGAUUGUAACUGCCCUGCUGCUCAUAGUCCUCAUAGCAGCAGCACUGUACUUCAUCAUGAUGAAGAGGAGGCAGAGAAACCUCACUGCCGUGCGUGGCUUCCCCAGAUGCGACGCUGCGGCCCAGAGCCGCAGCAGCAGAAGGAGCAGCAGCAGCAGCAGCAGGCGUAAGUGUCACCCCAUUCACCACAUGACUUCUGCAUGCCCAUUCGACACAAAACCAACUUCCUUCAUCGGCGCUUUUCCAGCCAGCCAGUUCAC
Molecule: RNA transcript, 1747 nt
Organism: Anguilla rostrata (American eel)
Lineage: Eukaryota; Metazoa; Chordata; Actinopteri; Anguilliformes; Anguillidae
Gene name: T-cell immunoreceptor with Ig and ITIM domains-like
Exons: 4
Source: RefSeq, a predicted model, not a curated record